Molecule: ribosomal RNA, 526 nt
Filed under: uncultured bacterium
Lineage: Bacteria
Description: bacterial SSU rRNA
Rfam family: Bacterial small subunit ribosomal RNA
Source: RNAcentral
UAGUCCACGCCCUAAACGAUGUAUACUCGAUGUUUGGAUUUAUUUCUGGGCAUCCAAGGGAAACCAUUAAGUAUACCACCUGGGGAGUACGUCGGCAACGAUGAAACUCAAAGGAAUUGACGGGGGUCCGCACAAGCGGUGGAGUAUGUGGUUUAAUUCGAUGAUACGCGAGGAACCUUACCUAGGCUCGAACGCUACAAGACAGGAACUGAAAGGUUUUUCCCUUCGGGGUUUGUAGUGAGGUGCUGCAUGGUUGUCGUCAGCUCGUGCCGUGAGGUGUUGGGUUAAGUCCCGCAACGAGCGCAACCCUUAUUCUUAGUUGCCAGCAUGUAAAGAUGGGGACUCUAGGAAGACUGCCGGCGUAAGCCGUGAGGAAGGUGGGGACGACGUCAAAUCGUCAUGGCCUUUAUGCCUAGGGGCUACACACGUGCUACAAUGGGUGCAUACAGCGGGGUAGCGAAACCGCGAGGGUGGAGCCAAUCUCAGAAAGCUGGGUCUUAGUUCGGGAUCGGGAGUCUGGGAACUC